Molecule: long non-coding RNA, 2089 nt
Filed under: Salmo salar (Atlantic salmon)
Lineage: Eukaryota; Metazoa; Chordata; Actinopteri; Salmoniformes; Salmonidae
Description: lncRNA (ENSSSAG00000099877.1)
Source: RNAcentral
AAACAGUGCGCUUGCACAGACUUCCUUACAAUGCUUGCUGGGUAUUGAAGUCUUUUUAAUCCAAGGCAGAUUCGAUUUGCGACUACCACACAUAGUAGGCCAUUGAGAUGCUCUUGGCUGCGGGUUUACACAAGAACUACUACUACCGAAAUGCCCUCCAGGUUGUUUCCGGUCAUUCUGGUAAAAAAAAAGUUUCAAUGGGGGCCUGAGUAAAAGUGUUUGGUGAGGAAAUGGCUGAGUAGCCUAGCAAUAUUAAAUCGACUAUAACCGAUAUCCGAACAAGAGGGCAAUUCAUGAGUCAGGAGAGAAGCACAAUGGAUGCGCGUGAUGAUGCUCUCGAGAUGUUAUCAGUGGGAUGGAGCGGUGAUGUUACACUGGGUAGCAAUUAGCAAGCCUCUUUUUCCUACAAAGAGGCAGAGCAGGCAACAGAUGGCACACAGACAGCAGAGUUGAGGACAGAUAUGCAGGGACAGACUGGCAGAGACAGGGAGUCUCAGGUAAGUUUGUUGAGUCUUUGUUUGGCAACAUUAUGAAAGGUUAUCAAUUUUUUUGACUUGUAAAAUAGGAACAUAAUUGGAAAAUGCCAUGGAUACCCCCACUCUCAACUGGUGACUGAACUAAGAUUUGUUAAAGGCAAUGGUAUUGCUGUUGUGAUUAGUUGUGUAGUUUUGGGUACCGGUAGUUAGGAGUACGACAAACACCUUAUUUCUUUGGUUCCUCAAUAUACAUCUACCAUAUUACAAUGUAGGCUAUGUGUUACAGCACUACUUUUGGUGUCCCCCUCAGGAAUUGCUCUUGAGAAAAUUUCAUCUAAUUGUCCCCUCCAAAGUUGAUAUCAGAUUUUCGCCCCUGGCCAUCAGUACAGUUACCAACAUGAGCAGCAGCUACGUUUGGCUAUAUAUGGACCGUUAGUGCAAUUCCCGCGAGAGAGUAACGCUUAAUUUGAUUGGAUGUUAAUUAUUUGACUAGGCUACCUGUAUUUGACGUGUUAUUUCGCUGAACGCUAGAUGGUUUUAAUUGUAAUUUUGGCAGUGAAACGAGGCUACUCAGGUGAGAAUAAAACCUCACACAAAUAUUUAACCCCAUUGGAAAAUAUAAAUGGAAUGUUUGAAAAUGUGAAAAAAUAAAUAAGAAAAACAUGUAAUUUGGCAUACCUCCGACGGGGUACCCUAGUUUGGGAAUACCUGCUGUAAUCCAACAAAUUGACAAUUAUUUGAAAGAUUUUACAACAUUACAAUUACUCAAUGGAAAACAAAGAGAGCUAGAGAGACUUCAUCAACAGGUGGUUGGGGGUAUCAUCUAUACUACAGUAUCGAGUGGAUGGAACAUGGUGAAAAAUACUCCAUGCAUUUACAGCAGAGACAUUUUUCCAGAAAAAAUGUCAACUAAUUUUAGAGAAUUGUGAUAUUAAUGGAAGACACAAAUUAUUUCAAACAGUUGUUCAAACAGAAGCCAGCCCUAAAAUCUCACAAGUAUUCACAGAAAAGCAUUUUUCUACACCCCCAAUAACAUCUGCUAUAUAUGUGUAUGUGACCAAUAAGAUUUGAUUUUAGAAUUUUUAAAAUUGAAAAUCCCCCACCUGAAACGUAAAGAUGAGCAGCAGCUUUUAGGUGAAGGUUUUAUCAUGGAGGAGGAAUUACUUUAUGCCAUUGAGUCAUUCAAAAUGGGAGAGUCCCUAUGUUUUAGAUGGAAUUCCAAUUGCGGUAUGUAAAACGUUCUUCACAGAAAUUAAGAAACCCUUACUAUUCUUUCUGUGCUGUAAUCCAAUCCAGGACCCAACAGGAGGGAGUAAUUUCCUUAUUAUUAAAGCAAGAUGCAAAUGGUCAAUAUUAAAGACCCAAUUCAACUUAAAUUGGAGACUCCUCACGUUACUUGGUUGUGAUACCCGUAUACUGUCAAUGUAUUUCCUUGAGAGUUAGAAAAGUCAUACAAGAUAUCCACCAUGAUCAAGCAGGUUCCUUGGCAGGGAGAUUCAUACAAGAUAUCCACCAUGAUCAAGCAGGUUUCUUGGCAGGGAGAUGCAUUGAAGAUGGUUUCAGAAGGCUUCUUGAAAUUAUUGAUUAUUAUAUUUUUGUAGGCUACACCGUGG